CAAUGACACUUCAGCUCCCGCCGCAGAUGUUCCGCCAAAGGGUGGGAACCCUUCAGAAAAGCCUCUCUUGCGAUUUCUGGGGCAUGUUGGUGGUACUUACUAUUCGGGGGGCUACACCAUACAAGAUCUGCUGACAUCGCACGAUCCCCUCCGCGGCCCGAAUGCGCAGGUCAACGGCUUCCUCCUCCACGGCCUCAACAUCCUCGAACGCGGCUACAUCUUCACCUGCAUGAUCAUCGCCGCGAUCUCGGCGUUCCUCAUCGAUCGCCGCUUUUUCCACGCCGCGGGUUGGGCCAUCGCCGCUGCGGUGCUCACCUUCCUGGGCCUGAUGCAC
This 334-nucleotide unclassified non-coding RNA is filed under the name uncultured fungus. Its description in RNAcentral is "sequence contains ITS1". Lineage: Eukaryota; Fungi. The record is from RNAcentral.